This 440-nucleotide ribosomal RNA is filed under the name uncultured bacterium. RNAcentral's name for it is "partial 16S ribosomal RNA". It matches the Rfam family "Bacterial small subunit ribosomal RNA", at positions 338 to 795 of the family's 1533-position model. The record is from RNAcentral.
CCUACGGGAGGCAGCAGUGGGGGAUAUUGCACAAUGGGGGGAACCCUGAUGCAGCGACGCCGCGUGGGUGAAGGAGCGUUUCGGCGCGUACAGCUCUAUCGGCAGGGAAGAAGGUGACUGUACCUGGCCAAGAAGCCCCGGCUAACUACGUGCCAGCAGCCGCGGUCAUACGUAGGGGGCAAGCGUUAUCCGGAUUUACUGGGUGUAAAGGGGGCGCAGACGGCAAUGCAAGCCAGGAGUGAAAGCCCUGGGCCCAACCCCGGGACUGCUCUUGGAACUGCAUGGCUGGAGUACAGGAGGGGCAGGCGGAAUUCCUAGUGUAGCGGUGAAAUGCGUAGAUAUUAGGAGGAACACCGGUGGCGAAGGCGGCCUGCUGGACUGUGACUGACGUUGAGGCCCGAAGGCGUGGGGAGCAAACAGGAUUAGAUACCCGUGUAGUC